UCGGGACUCGGGGGCGGGUCGGCGCCAGAGACGAGAAGAGAGGAGGGGAGGCCUCCGCCGCCGCCGCCAUCUUGGACCGGGCCCGGUCAGCUUCCGCGGAGCCAUCGGCAGACGCCGCGGCCUCCCUUGAGCCCCGACCCCCGUCGUCAGAACAACCCCGGGCCCACUCCCCCAACCCCACUUCCGCUUCGCGCCGCUAUCGCGAUAGCGCCCGGGCCCGGGGCGCGAGAAAAAGGCGGCGGGCGCUCGCCUCCCCCGCCUGUCGCGAUACGCUCCUCAGCGGCGGCGCCAGCUCCUGUGCGUCAGCCUCCAAGAGAGUAUGAAGAGAGUGCGUCUGUAGGACAGGGAAGAUGGCGGACAAGCGCAAACUCCAAGGUGAGAUUGAUCGCUGCCUCAAGAAGGUGUCCGAGGGCGUGGAGCAGUUUGAAGAUAUUUGGCAGAAGCUCCACAAUGCAGCCAACGCGAACCAGAAAGAAAAGUAUGAGGCUGACCUAAAGAAGGAGAUUAAGAAGCUACAACGGCUGAGGGACCAGAUCAAGACAUGGGUAGCGUCCAACGAGAUCAAGGACAAGAGGCAGCUCAUAGACAACCGCAAGCUCAUCGAGACGCAAAUGGAACGGUUCAAAGUUGUGGAACGAGAGACCAAAACCAAAGCUUACAGUAAGGAGGGCCUGGGCCUGGCCCAGAAGGUAGAUCCUGCCCAGAAGGAGAAGGAAGAGGUUGGCCAGUGGCUCACGAAUACCAUCGACACGCUCAACAUGCAGGUGGACCAGUUUGAGAGUGAGGUGGAGUCACUGUCAGUGCAGACCCGCAAGAAGAAGGGCGACAAGGAUCAGAAGCAGGACCGGAUCGAGGGCUUGAAGCGGCACAUCGAGAAGCACCGCUACCACGUGCGCAUGCUCGAGACCAUCCUGCGCAUGCUGGACAAUGACUCCAUCCUCGUUGAUGCCAUCCGCAAGAUCAAGGACGACGUUGAGUACUAUGUCGACUCAUCCCAGGACCCCGACUUCGAGGAGAACGAGUUUCUCUACGAUGACCUGGACCUCGAGGACAUUCCACAGGCGCUGGUCGCCACCUCCCCCCCCAGCCACAGCCACAUGGAGGAUGAGAUCUUCAACCAGUCCAGCAGCACACCCACCUCGACCACCUCCAGCUCUCCCAUCCCGCCCAGCCCAGCCAACUGUACCACGGAAAACUCUGAAGAUGAUAAGAAGAGGGGACGUUCCACAGACAGUGAAGUCAGCCAGUCUCCAGCCAAAAACGGCUCCAAGGCUGUCCACAGCAACCAGCACCCUCAGUCCCCAGCUGUGCCGCCCACCUACCCCUCCGGCCCCCCGCCUGCUGCCUCUGCCUUGAGCACCACUCCUGGCAACAAUGGGGUCCCCGCCCCAGCAGCACCCCCAAGUGCCCUGGGCCCCAAGGCCAGUCCAGCUCCCAGCCACAACUCGGGUACCCCUGCCCCCUAUGCCCAGGCUGUGGCCCCACCGGCUACCAGUGGGCCCAGCACGACCCAGCCCCGGCCCCCCAGCGUCCAGCCUGGUGGAGGCGGCGGCGGCGGAGGCGGAGGGAGCAGCAGCAAUAGUAACAGCAGUGCCGGUGGAGGGGCUGGCAAGCAGAAUGGCGCCACCAGUUACAGCUCAGUUGUGGCAGACAGCCCGGCAGAGGUGGCUUUGAGCAGCAGUGGGGGCAACAAUGCCAGCAGCCAGGCCCUGGGCCCCCCUUCCGGCCCCCACAACCCACCUCCCAGCACCUCGAAGGAACCCAGUGCGGCAGCCCCAACAGGGGCUGGGGGUGUGGCCCCAGGCUCAGGGAACAACUCAGGGGGACCCAGCCUCCUGGUGCCACUGCCUGUGAAUCCUCCCAGCUCCCCAACGCCCAGCUUCAGUGAUGCCAAGGCAGCCGGUGCCCUGCUCAAUGGGCCUCCACAGUUCAGCACCGCCCCGGAAAUCAAGGCGCCCGAGCCUCUGAGCUCCUUGAAGUCCAUGGCGGAACGGGCAGCCAUCAGCUCUGGCAUUGAGGACCCUGUGCCAACGCUGCACCUGACUGAGCGAGACAUCAUCCUGAGCAGCACAUCAGCACCUCCGGCCUCAGCUCAGCCACCGCUGCAGCUGUCAGAGGUGAACAUACCGCUGUCGCUGGGUGUCUGUCCGCUGGGCCCUGUGCCCCUCACCAAGGAGCAGCUCUACCAGCAGGCCAUGGAAGAGGCCGCCUGGCACCACAUGCCCCACCCCUCUGACUCUGAGCGUAUCCGGCAGUACCUCCCCCGGAACCCCUGUCCGACGCCCCCCUACCACCACCAGAUGCCACCCCCACACUCGGACACUGUGGAGUUCUACCAGCGCCUGUCGACCGAGACACUCUUCUUCAUCUUCUACUAUCUGGAGGUACAGCAGGGCCCCCGGGGCAGCCUCAGGCCCCCCGGCUUCGCCGCCACCGCCGCCGUCCCCCCUCGGGCUGGAGGGGUGAGGGCACUAAGGCACAGUACCUGGCAGCCAAGGCCCUGAAGAAGCAGUCAUGGCGAUUCCACACCAAGUACAUGAUGUGGUUCCAGAGGCACGAGGAGCCCAAGACCAUCACUGACGAGUUCGAGCAGGGCACCUACAUCUACUUUGACUACGAGAAGUGGGGCCAGCGGAAGAAGGAAGGCUUCACCUUUGAGUACCGCUACCUGGAGGACCGGGACCUCCAGUGACACCGGCCCCUCCCUCUACCCACCCCCUUCCCCCGCAUGCUGAUCCCCCUGCCCAGGUGAGGGCCCUGCCCUGGAAGACCGGAGGGAGGCCCCAGGCCACGGGGCAUCCCCCUCUCCCAGGAAGCAGGGAGGGGGCCGGGAGGUUUUCCUCUCAGCCCCACCCUGGGGGCCCGGGGGCGAGGGCUGCCCCCUCCUCCCCUCCCCAGUGAGGGACAUUUUUUGGUAAACCUAUUUUCAUUUUGGAAAAUAUUUAUGAAUAAAUAGUUUUAUAUGACGGCUGGCAGCAGCGGCCUCUCCUGUA
Molecule: RNA transcript, 2993 nt
Organism: Piliocolobus tephrosceles (Ugandan red Colobus)
Lineage: Eukaryota; Metazoa; Chordata; Mammalia; Primates; Cercopithecidae
Gene: CNOT3
Gene name: CCR4-NOT transcription complex subunit 3
Exons: 18
Source: RefSeq, a predicted model, not a curated record